UUGAAAGGGAAACGAUUGAAGUCAGUCGUACCAGCGGGAAAUCAACCUUUCGAGUGGGGGUUUUGGAGUUUUGAAGAGUUUCAAAACCUUUGAGAUUUCAAAAAUUUCGCUCUUUUGGUGUACUUUCUCGUGGGUAGGUUAACAUCGAUUUUGAUCAUCAUAAAAAGAUUGGAGGAAUGUAGCUUCGAUCUUGUAUUGAAGUGUUAUAGCCUUUGGUAAAUGUGAUGAUUAGGAUCGAGGAUUGCACCGAAUACCCUUUUGGGCUAUCCGCCUGAUCUCUGAUACGUGGCCUUGGUAUCGAAAGCGUGCUUAUGGUAUUGAGGUAUUACGGUCAAAAGGUUAGAACGGAUUACAUUCGUUAAGGAUGUUGACGUA
This 375-nucleotide ribosomal RNA is filed under the name uncultured Glomeromycotina. RNAcentral's name for it is "LSU rRNA". Lineage: Eukaryota; Fungi; Glomeromycota. The record is from RNAcentral.